CCUUUUUCCCUCUCUUUCACGCUUCAAAGCUCAGGUAUGACAGAUUUCUGUAAAAUUUCUGUAAAAUUAUCAGUCUUUCGGUGACUCUGAUUGCUAGGAGUACUUGGAAUGUGGUGAGGAGAGCUCAGUCAAUUGGAAGGAAGGUUGCUAGGAUUUGGAAAAAUGGGUUCAAAUACUCUGUGAUCUGCUCAUCCUUAAACAGAAUGAAUUGCACCGGAUCAUGCUUCCAUUUAUGAUUAACUGCUCCUUUCUAGGAAAGUAUACCACAAUCUAGAUUUGGUGGUGAUCUUCAAAAUGCCUUUUUGUACACUGGUGUGGAUGAUUGCCGAACUCAUUCACAAUUAACCAUAAACACACACACACACCUCUUGGUACUUAAGUUUAUGAGCUGAAUGCUACUUUUGCUUGGUGGAUCAACGAAAUGAGUUUGUUUUAUGGACCUUGUUUGAUGCUAUAUUGGAAUGAGCUUCUACAGGCUCCAGUUAAUGCAUUUUUUUGUCCAAUUCUAUCUCUAGAUUGAGACAUUUACGUUCGUAUUUUGCCUAUUAUUUCAGGCAAUAGUAUCCAGGCAUCAAAUAGUUGAUAUUGACUAUUUUUACCAGGGUUUGGAAACAUGAUGUCCAGAAAGGGGAUACAAUGAUUAAUGCCACUUGUGGCAAUGAUUAUGAUACUUUAGCAAUGGUCAUUAUACCUGAUAAUGAAUUAGCCAGCGUUGUAUUUAUGCAAUGGAUAUUCAGAAUGAUGCUUUAGAGAAUACUUCUUCCUUGCUAGAAGAGUUGCUCAAUCCAUACAAGGUCCAGAAGGUACAAAACACAGGAAGUCUUUAGCUAAUACAGCCUUUACAAAAGAUUUGGUCCAACCAAAGAGAAUGUAUGGGGGAUUUGAUGCACAUCUUUGCUUUUGAGGUAAUUCGAACAACAAGUUGAGUUAUAAAAGUUCUAUUUGUUCUAUUAUAGAUCAAGUAAAUCAAUUCUAAAUGAGAUUUGUACAUGUGCAAUUUGUCUACUAUAUGUAGAGGUGGAUCUCUUUUCCAAUAUCCUUCUUAUCUGCACAAUUUUUUUCUACAUUACCUUCUUCAUUUCUUUCUUCAAGUAUACAGUACAAGAUUUUCAUGUUGUCAGAGCUAUAAGCAAAUCAAUCAUGGUGUCAAAUUGAUCAUCUUUCACCACCAAUACC
Molecule: long non-coding RNA, 1176 nt
Organism: Quercus robur (English oak)
Lineage: Eukaryota; Viridiplantae; Streptophyta; Magnoliopsida; Fagales; Fagaceae
Exons: 3
Source: RefSeq, a predicted model, not a curated record